AAUAUUGGUCAAUGGACGCAAGUCUGAACCAGCCACGUCGCGUGAAGGAAGACGGCCCUACGGGUUGUAAACUUCUUUUGUAAGGGAAUAAAGUGAGUAACUUGUGACUUUUUGUAUGUACCUUACGAUAAAGGCUCGGCUAACUCCGUGCCAGCUGCCGCGGUAAUACGGAGGAUCCGAGCGUUAACCGGAUUUAUUGGGUUUAAAGGGUGCGCAGGCGGGAGAUUAAGUAGGCGGUGAAAUUUUGCAGCUCAACUGUAAAAGUGACUUCGAAACCGGUUUCCUUGAGUGUAGAUGAAGUAGGCGGAAUUUGUGGUGUAGCGGUGAAAUACAUAGAUAUCACGAGGAACUCCGAUUGCGCAGGCAGCUUACUAAGCUACUACUGACGCUCAGGCACGAAGGCGUGGGGAUCAAACAGG
RNAcentral lists this ribosomal RNA (419 nucleotides) under uncultured bacterium. Its description in RNAcentral is "partial 16S ribosomal RNA". It matches the Rfam family "Bacterial small subunit ribosomal RNA", at positions 360 to 776 of the family's 1533-position model. The record is from RNAcentral.